Molecule: long non-coding RNA, 844 nt
Organism: Dicentrarchus labrax (European seabass)
Lineage: Eukaryota; Metazoa; Chordata; Actinopteri; Moronidae
Exons: 3
Source: RefSeq, a predicted model, not a curated record
AAAUGCAAAUAGGAAGUGUAAAUAAUGUUGCCUGGCGUCAGCUGUGCGCUACAACUUGAGCCCCUUUGCAGUUUAGCAAAUUAAAAGCAUACCGAAUUAAUUGUUAGCUGUUCCUGUUAACAGUGCAUCCAUGGAUGCACACACAACUAUCACUGGAUUACUUUAAUACUGAGGUAAACUUAAAAACGUGGUGAUUUUUAGAAAAGUUCUGGAGUCAUCGUUACGAGGAUUUCUAGGAUUUCUAAGUGGAUUUAUGGACGUUUGUUCACGAUGGCGAUCGGAGAAAACGACAUCCUCGGAAAGGGGAGCAGAGACUACAGCACUCAAGUGAGACCCCUGACCUCAGACAUGAUUGGAAACACUGGACAACACAUCGCUGGACACAUCACUGAUUUGACCUUGCUUUGACACUACCCCUGCAUUCAAAAAUCUCCCUGAGACGGGCUUGAGUUACUCAAGCUGUUAGGUGCCCUCUCAGGUUCUGACACAGUGGGGAAGGAUGUUGGAGCUGACAAGGAUAAAAUGUCAAGCAAAUACCACGACUGUCACACCUUCUCCUGUUUGAGGCACAACAACCUCAAUGACUCCCUUAAGAUCUGGUGGUCUCAUUACCAGUCUCCUAUGUGGAAGGAUAAGACAAUUGCUCCUGCUGGUCAGAGUUAUCUGAUUUUAAGUUUUGAUACUUUUUACUGUUACAAUAAAGUACUGGGAGGAAUAAAAUCUCCCCCACAAAAACACAUAAAAACACUCAACUUACUUAACAACAUUGUCAGGGUAUUCUUAUAUAAUGCAAACCGAUGCAGUAGUAGUUUCAUAAAGUGCCAGCAACGUUUUCAAUUAUAAA